RNAcentral lists this ribosomal RNA (253 nucleotides) under uncultured bacterium. RNAcentral's name for it is "partial 16S ribosomal RNA". It matches the Rfam family "Bacterial small subunit ribosomal RNA", at positions 524 to 776 of the family's 1533-position model. The record is from RNAcentral.
CACGUAGGGCGCAAGCGUUGUCCGGAAUUAUUGGGCGUAAAGAGCUCGUAGGCGGUCUGUUACGUCUGCUGUGAAAACCCUGGGCUUAACCUUGGGCUUGCAGUGGGUACGGGCAGACUAGAGUGCGGUAGGGGUGACUGGAAUUCCUGGUGUAGCGGUGGAAUGCGCAGAUAUCAGGAGGAACACCGAUGGCGAAGGCAGGUCACUGGGCCGCAACUGACGCUGAGGAGCGAAAGCAUGGGGAGCGAACAGG